GGGGAUAUGGCGGAAUUGGUAGACGCUGCGGACUUAAAAUCCGUUGAUUUUAAAAAAUCGUGAGGGUUCAAGUCCCUCUAUCCCCA
RNAcentral lists this transfer RNA (86 nucleotides) under Bryopsis plumosa. RNAcentral describes it as "tRNA-Leu". It matches the Rfam family "tRNA". Rfam says of the family: Transfer RNA (tRNA) molecules are approximately 80 nucleotides in length. The record is from RNAcentral. Lineage: Eukaryota; Viridiplantae; Chlorophyta; Ulvophyceae; Bryopsidales; Bryopsidaceae.